Molecule: ribosomal RNA, 292 nt
Filed under: uncultured microorganism
Description: partial 16S ribosomal RNA
Rfam family: Bacterial small subunit ribosomal RNA
Source: RNAcentral
GUGCCAGCAGCCGCGGUAAUACGUAGGGGGCAAGCGUUGUCCGGAUUUAUUGGGCGUAAAGCGCGUGUAGGCGGCUUGGCAAGUCCGCUGUGAAAACUCGAGGCUCAACCUCGAGACGUCGGUGGAAACUGCCUGGCUAGAGUCCGGAAGAGGAGAGUGGAAUUCCUGGUGUAGCGGUGAAAUGCGCAGAUAUCAGGAAGAACACCUAUGGCGAAGGCAGCUCUCUGGGACGGUACUGACGCUGAGACGCGAAAGCGUGGGGAGCGAACAGGAUUAGAUACCCUGGUAGUCC